UAGGGAAUCUUCCGCAAUGGACGCAAGUCUGACGGAGCAACGCCGCGUGAGUGAAGAAGGACUUCGGUUCGUAAAACUCUGUUGUUAGAGAAGAACAGCGCAUAGAGUAACUGUUAUGCGUGUGACGGUAUCUAACCAGAAAGCCACGGCUAACUACGUGCCAGCAGCCGCGGUAAUACGUAGGUGGCAAGCGUUGUCCGGAUUUAUUGGGCGUAAAGCGAGCGCAGGCGGUCAAUUAAGUCUGAUGUGAAAGCCCCCGGCUCAACCGGGGAGGGUCAUUGGAAACUGGUUGACUUGAGUGCAGAAGAGGAGAGUGGAAUUCCAUGUGUAGCGGUGAAAUGCGUAGAUAUAUGGAGGAACACCAGUGGCGAAGGCGACUCUCUGGUCUGUAACUGACGCUGAGGUUCGAAAGCGUGGGUAGCAAACAGG
RNAcentral lists this ribosomal RNA (429 nucleotides) under Bacteroidota bacterium. RNAcentral describes it as "Bacteroidetes bacterium partial 16S ribosomal RNA". It matches the Rfam family "Bacterial small subunit ribosomal RNA", at positions 355 to 776 of the family's 1533-position model. Lineage: Bacteria; Pseudomonadati; Bacteroidota. The record is from RNAcentral.